RNAcentral lists this ribosomal RNA (253 nucleotides) under uncultured bacterium. RNAcentral's name for it is "partial 16S ribosomal RNA". It matches the Rfam family "Bacterial small subunit ribosomal RNA", at positions 524 to 776 of the family's 1533-position model. The record is from RNAcentral.
CACGUAGGGCGCAAGCGCUGUCCGGAAUUAUUGGGCGUAAAGAGCUCGUAGGCGGUCUGUUGCGUCCGCUGUGAAAACUCGGGGCUUAACCCCGAGCCUGCAGUGGAUACGGGCAGACUAGAGGUAGGUAGGGGAGAAUGGAAUUCCCGGUGUAGCGGUGAAAUGCGCAGAUAUCGGGAGGAACACCGGUGGCGAAGGCGGCUUCCUGGUCUGCAACUGACGCUGUGGCGCGAAAGCUAGGGGAGCAAACGGG